ACUCACUUCGGCGAUAUAUAUAUUACAAUUGGAACAAUACAGAAAAGGUUAGCAUGGCCCCUGUGCAAGGAUGAACUCACUGGCUCAAACUAUCCUGGUUAUA
Cryptotermes secundus is the source of this 103-nucleotide small nuclear RNA. The record is from RefSeq and is a predicted model, not a curated record. Lineage: Eukaryota; Metazoa; Arthropoda; Insecta; Blattodea; Kalotermitidae.